This is a ribosomal RNA of 787 nucleotides. It matches the Rfam family "Bacterial small subunit ribosomal RNA", at positions 399 to 1200 of the family's 1533-position model.
GCGUGAGGGGACGGCCUUCGGGUUGUAAACCUCUUUCAGUAGGGAAGAAGCGAAAGUGACGGUACCUGCAGAAGAAGCACCGGCUAACUACGUGCCAGCAGCCGCGGUAAUACGUAGGGUGCGAGCGUUAUCCGGAAUUAUUGGGCGUAAAGAGCUCGUAGGCGGUUUGUCGCGUCUGUCGUGAAAGUCCGGGGCUUAACCCCGGAUCUGCGGUGGGUACGGGCAGACUAGAGUGCAGUAGGGGAGACUGGAAUUCCUGGUGUAGCGGUGGAAUGCGCAGAUAUCAGGAGGAACACCGAUGGCGAAGGCAGGUCUCUGGGCUGUAACUGACGCUGAGGAGCGAAAGCAUGGGGAGCGAACAGGAUUAGAUACCCUGGUAGUCCAUGCCGUAAACGUUGGGCACUAGGUGUGGGGACCAUUCCACGGUUUCCGCGCCGCAGCUAACGCAUUAAGUGCCCCGCCUGGGGAGUACGGCCGCAAGGCUAAAACUCAAAGGAAUUGACGGGGGCCCGCACAAGCGGCGGAGCAUGCGGAUUAAUUCGAUGCAACGCGAAGAACCUUACCAAGGCUUGACAUGUUCUCGAUCGCCGUAGAGAUACGGUUUCCCCUUUGGGGCGGGUUCACAGGUGGUGCAUGGUUGUCGUCAGCUCGUGUCGUGAGAUGUUGGGUUAAGUCCCGCAACGAGCGCAACUCUCGUUCCAUGUUGCAGCACGUAGUGGUGGGGACUCAUGGGAGACUGCCGGGGUCAACUCGGAGAGGUGAGGGACGACGUCAAAUCAUCAUGCCC